GAGAUAGCUCAGUUGGUUAGAGCGUCAGAUUGUGGCUCUGAAGGUCGUGAGUUCGACUCUCAUUCUC
Molecule: transfer RNA, 67 nt
Filed under: pig gut metagenome
Rfam family: tRNA
About the family: Transfer RNA (tRNA) molecules are approximately 80 nucleotides in length.
Source: RNAcentral